CCUUUUCGAGCUUUCCCGACGGCUUAUUGACUGAUACAAGAGAUGACCAUCUGGUUGAGACGCGCGCCGAUUACUUCGGAUCGAAAUCUCUCCCGAGGCGCGUUGAUUUUUGGUGAGAUCGCUAACUAGUGAACGAGAAUCCCUCAUCUGAAUCGAAAUUGAGGCUACAUUCUGCGAACGGAAAUAAACUGACUGCCGUUGAACCCAGGCCAGGUUUAGUUGAUUAUAGGCGUGGUCUUUGCGGGUUGACCUUUGCCAAGGUUGGAAGGGUCAAACCCCUGCCCCACCAUAGGGUGUGGGCUGCUGUACCGCACUCAGGGAAUGCGCCUGCACCCAGGAAAUAUUUCCCGCUCUACCAUGGCAGAAUUAAACAUAUGAAUGAAGAUUUUAAAAUAAGUACAAAAAUACAAAUUAUGACUCAGCAUAUAACAGACCAGCUAUUAUUGUGUCAUGCUCGUUCGCCGUAACAAUUUUAGGUACAUGCUUUUCUCAUGACGCAGCCAGUCCUCUUCUUAACGGCAGCAGUAUCAGCGCUCUGGACCUGGAGACAACAACACAAGGGUCUCAUCCCAGUGUGCUGGGCUUCCCAGCACUCACCUGAUGUUCAUCUUGUGGGUGACAAAGCCCAGGUACUGGUCCAGGACAAGGGAGGUGGCCAGAUCAUCAUAGUCUGAGAGUUCCCGGGGUGUCAUGCCACAGCCGGUGCUGGCCACCCCACCACCACGUACCAGCCGUCCACCCUGAGCCACCACCAUCCUGCCGGCCCACCCACACCUAAAAUGAACACAGGCCAUUAGUGAGCUUGCUUGUCUGCAUCAUACAUGUCAAUCUUGUGUUUAAAGAUAGAAAAGUCACGAGAUUUUUACACUGUUAUAUAAUUUUUGAUGGAUUGUUAAAGAAGUAAUUCUAGUUGCUCAAGCUCAACUACAAACAGAACACAUGCAAGACUUAAAGCUAUGUAAAUGCAGUUGUUUGAUGAGACAAACACCACCGAUGCCAAGUAAAUAAUACAAUGUUUGGUAAGAUGACUGCUGAAAACAUCAUGCUGCACUUACUAAGAUAAACACCACUGAUGCCAUAUAACUACUCCUGUGUUUGGUGAGAUGAACACCACCAAUGCCACAUAAAUAAUUCAGUAUUUGGAGAGAUGAACACCACCAAUGCCAUGUAAAUAAUUCAGUGUUUGGCAAGAUGAAUAACAAUGCCAUAAAUACUCCUGUGUUUGGUCAGACAAACACCACUGAUGUUGUGACUAUUUCAGCAUUUCUAUCAUGAGACAAACACCAUUAAUGGCACACAAAUGCUCCUGUGUUUGGUGAAACGAACAUCAAUGACAGCACACAAAUGCCCCAGUGUUUGGUGAAACGAGCAUCAAUGACAGCACACAAAUGCUCCAGUGUUUGGUGAAACGAACAUCAAUGACUUCACACAAAUGCUCCAGUGUUUGGUGAAACGAACAUCAAUGACUUCACACAAAUGCUCCAGUGUUUGGUGAAACGAACAUCAAUGACUUCACACAAAUGUUCCAGUGUUUGGUGAAACGAACAUCAAUGACUUCACACAAAUGCUACUGUGCUUUGCAGGAUGAAUAUCACCAACACCAUACUGACUUUCUAGCACCUGUACAAAUAUUCAUAAUGAUGAGAAAAAACAAAGUUUAAUUUCUACAAGUACUCAACCCUCUCACAACUCCAUCUUAAUAUUCCCAAGUGUUUCGCCAUUCAUCUUACAGUUGAUGGCAAUAUAUUACUGUGUGUCCCUUUGUUACGACAAACUGUUUAAAAACAAAAGGAGCAUCAAGAUACCUCAAAAACCAAAUUGGCUAAUUCUCCAAGGUGUUCAUCAGUUUCUUUUCUUUCUGGAGGGUUCUCAGCAAUCUACUUUUCAUUCUUUUU
Molecule: long non-coding RNA, 1895 nt
Organism: Scylla paramamosain (green mud crab)
Lineage: Eukaryota; Metazoa; Arthropoda; Malacostraca; Decapoda; Portunidae
Exons: 2
Source: RefSeq, a predicted model, not a curated record